CCCAUUUCGGUAUCAUCAUCACAAUAAAUAGGUUUGCAGAACACAUUUUUCCGGCGAGUCUCAACUGGAACUUAACCUUUCCUUCCUUUAGCCAACAAUUAUCACCCACUAUGAUCACUGAAACAAUUUCUAAAAUAGGUGUUAGUAGGUCAUGGGGGAGAACAGAAUUUAUUUUGCAGUUGGGUUCAAGUCCUAUGAUAUUACGAGAUUGAUCAGUAGGACAGAAACCUGGUUUGAAUGGGUGGAAAGAAGUAGGAAUUUGAUGCGCAGAACCAAGUUUAACAAGAAAACCAUGGAGUGGUUAGUUUUUGUUUUGCUAGAAGCCUCGAGGGACACUGGAAUGCAUACAAGAUGGUGGAAGCUCAAUGACAAAUUUGCAGAUUUCUAUUGUGCCAGAAAACACAAGUUUGGCAGAUUUAUUAGCAUUGUUACUGUUCAAGGAGAGAACAGAUCAGUUAUUAUAAUACCAGAAUUUGCAUUAAUUAAGGGGUGGGGGUACAUAGCAUUAAAGGUAGAUAGCUCCAUUAAAAAUCAAAAGGAAGUCCCUAGUACAAGUUCAAGCAGAUCUAGAAGAACAGACUCAAAAACCCUUUAUGCCGACACAAUCAGAACCAACAAGUGGCAAUCAAAGGCAACAUCUGAUGCAAAAAUAUGUCAAAGCAGGGGAGACAUGGUAAUAAAUGAUGCUGAUGCAGAAGCUCAAAAAGGUCUACUUGGAAGGUGCAUUGUUGGGACCUUUGCUGCAAGGAUGAAGGAGAUACCCACUCUUGCAGAUAUUAGAAGAUGGGCCACCUUUACAUGAACAAGGCUUUUGGGGUCAACAUUUAUGAGAUGAAUGGAAACUCUUUCCUCUUCGAGUUCCCUAAUAAGCACAUGGCAGAACAAAUUCUUCAUGGAGAGUGGACUUGGAAGCAUCUGAAGUUGUAUCUCCAAUGAUGGUCACCGACAGUGGGAUGUUGUUCGCAACGAAAGAACUCAACUUGGAUUAGAGCUAUGGGCUCCUGUUACAUAUCUGGACAGAAAGUGCAUUCAAAGCUAUUGGUGAACAAUGUGGUGGAUGGCUAGAAACUGAAGAAGAAACCUCCCUAUAGAAUCAACUGAAGUGGGCAAGGGUGAGAGUCAAAGGUGAUGGGGAAAACAUACCGAAAGAUGUCAAGCUAUUGGAUAAAGUUCUUACCUUUAUUAUUCCGAUCUAGCUGGGAAUUCAGACCUUGGUGGUGAUCGAAGAGCCGAAGAAGUCACUGGAUAAUCACCCGUGGAUAACUAUAAAUCAUGGAGGAAGAAAUAGCAACUCCGGCAAGGUGAAGAAGACGAAAGACAAUGACCGCUGGUUAAUAAAAGAGAACAGAGAAAGAAACAACGGUUUUUAUAAUGGUGAAAAUAGGUAUGGACACGUGGUUUCUACAUCAGAUCCAACAGCUGGCGUGGGCCCAGUUGCAUGUGCACAGGAGGAUAUUUUAAGUAAUGGGCCAAUUUUGGGGCAAAAGGAAAAAAAUAGAUUUCUGUGGGGUUUUUUCCAAUGAUGGCCC
Molecule: long non-coding RNA, 1529 nt
Filed under: Capsicum annuum
Lineage: Eukaryota; Viridiplantae; Streptophyta; Magnoliopsida; Solanales; Solanaceae
Description: long non-coding RNA (CANN_LNC011512)
Source: RNAcentral